CAGCACCACAAAAGCAGAACGCGCCCGAUCUCAGAAGCGAAGCAGGGUCGGGCCUGGUUAGUACUUGGAUGGGAGAAAAAGCUAGAAGUGGUGCUGG
Molecule: ribosomal RNA, 97 nt
Filed under: Dipodomys ordii (Ord's kangaroo rat)
Lineage: Eukaryota; Metazoa; Chordata; Mammalia; Rodentia; Heteromyidae
Source: RNAcentral